This 405-nucleotide small RNA is filed under the name Histoplasma capsulatum var. duboisii H88. Its description in RNAcentral is "Histoplasma capsulatum H88 hypothetical RNA". The record is from RNAcentral. Lineage: Eukaryota; Fungi; Ascomycota; Eurotiomycetes; Onygenales; Ajellomycetaceae.
AGUGAAUGGGAUGGAUAUCAAUUGAACCCUGCUCAGUCACACUACUCCAGGGCAAAAGGGGUGCUGAAAUCUGCCUGGCUCCCCGAGCUAGUUAAUCACUGCCGCUCUCGAAUCACGGGGGAAUUAAAUUACCAGUAAAGGCCGGACCUUAUGGCUAGCUUAGGUGAUAGCGUUGGACAAGUAUGGUACUCUUGGUUGCAACAACACUCUGUUCAAGAAAGACAGAUGAGAAGAGCAAAUUGGGCAAUAUCUCAAGCAGCUGAUAUGGCUACCAUAGAGACCGGCCAAAAGACGUCCAAAGAGGAAUGUGUAAUGUCGUCGUGAACUCAAAGGUCAAAGUAAGGCUAUCAAUUCCAACUGAAUAGAGCAUGCUAAAACAAGAUAUGCCUUGCUGCUAUAAUACAC